This 1185-nucleotide long non-coding RNA is filed under the name Canis lupus familiaris (dog). RNAcentral describes it as "lncRNA (ENSCAFG00845004678.1)". The record is from RNAcentral. Lineage: Eukaryota; Metazoa; Chordata; Mammalia; Carnivora; Canidae.
AUGUUGCACUCACAGCUGCCCCAACGCCCAGGCGCACCUCCCACCAGCACCCCCGGGAGGGCAGGGACCCUCCCCACCAGCUCCACGGUGUGGAGGACACAGCCCAGCAGCAAGCAAGGCACAUCCUUCGAGUUCUUCAGACGCAGAGAAGUUAGGAGAGAGGGAGGGGGAGGCCCUAGCAGAGCAUGGACCCUCCGGGACCCCAGCCUCCUGUUUGUGCUACUGGGCCAGGGGUCCUGGACAGAGAGAAGGAUGGGCAGACAGACAGCCAAGGCCUCUAACAGCUUUUGUCUUGAGCUAGACUUCAGUGUCCUUACAGUUGGUAAAUGGUUUUCUAUAGAAUCAAUAAUAUUUUUUCUUUCUUUAAAUAUAUAUUUGUUAAAGUUAUACCUUUUGUUUCUCUGGGGAAAUCUGCCUCAGCUCAUUCCCAAUAAAUUAAUACUCUCGAUAGCUUAUAUUCUGGGGGGUACAGCAGGGCAGGGCGCGACCCCACCCCAGCCCCUUGUGCUGCGCUGGAGCGGCUGGCAGAAGGUCCCCAAAGGGCAGUUCUGUGCUGGGCAUAGGCCUGUGCUCUGCCAGAUGGGGAGGGGGCGGAAGAGGCUGCCCCCCUCCCGCUGCCCGCCAGGCAGGGGCCCGGGGCUGCCCCUCCUCCGCCCGCAGCAGGCUGAGCCUGGCAUGGGUGGGCGGGUGGCCCAGCAGUUAUUGCACAGGGAGCAGCAGACGGGAGCGGGCACCCAGCGGGCAGCAGCGUUCACCCAGAGCCCUUGGGCCCCCUGGCCAGGCAGUCCUCCAGGCCUGCGCCCGGGGGCAGUUGUGCUUGUGCAGGGGACGGGCAGCACGGGCCUGCCGCCCCCCGCCUGGCCGGCCGUCCCCUGCGCCUGGCCUCCGCCGGCCGCCGCCCUGCCCGCUCGCGCUGCGCCCAGAGGUGCCCACCCUGAGGUAAAGGUCAGUGUGCGGGCCGGGCCCGGGCGGCGCGGGCAGGCCCGACGUGAGCGGCCGCGUCACUCCAGCAUGGCGUCCAGCUGGUCGGCCAGGUCGUCGAACAUGCUGCCGAUGUCGUCCAGGAUGCUGCCGGUGCUCUUCUCCUCGGCCGACGAGGGGCUGCGGGCCGGCGGGCGGGCGUGGGCGGGCGUGAGCGGGCGGGGCACCCCUGCCCGCGUCCCCCCAGGACCCGACCGCGACCCC